Molecule: long non-coding RNA, 1177 nt
Organism: Rosa chinensis
Lineage: Eukaryota; Viridiplantae; Streptophyta; Magnoliopsida; Rosales; Rosaceae
Exons: 2
Source: RefSeq, a predicted model, not a curated record
CUCUGCUUUUCCCCGCAGCCGCAUUACUCUCUCUCCCCGACCUCUCGCACUCCCUCUCUCUUCUUCCUCUGCAACCACCGGAAAUGCCAUCUCCGGCCACCACCUCCUAUCACCGCCAUUACCAAUCAACUCAACACCAAAAUCCGACCCAAACCCAUGAGAAAUCGAAGCCAUGCAUCGAUCCCAACCUCUCUCUUCCGUUCUCCUUCUCUCUGACACCACCGGAGACUCCAGCUCCGACCACCAUCUCCCCACACCGCCUCCACCAGUCGACGCACCACCCAAACCCGAGGCUUACCGUCCACAUGAAUCGCCUCCAGCCUCUGCACCGGAUCCUCAAAGCAGCGAUGCCACUGCUCGUUGGCUUUCCUCGAUUUCCGGCCAUCAGCUCGCCACACCGCCAUCACUUCUCGACUCAGAACUCGCCGGACGUCCAAACCUUGAAUCCUUGUUGACUGCCGAUGCCGGAGAGCGCCGUACCAGUCUUAUGCAGGAGUCUUAGCUUCUGCUAGGAUCGAUUUUUUCCUCCGAUCGAAAUUGAGCUAUGCCGCCUCCAAGGAUGGAAUCAGGGCUUCACGAUCUAUCAAAGCCCUAGACCCCCGACCUCUAGCUCCGACUAGAGCCACCGCACGCGCCUCACGCGCCGCCACAGGCGCGUGGACCACCGUAACUCCGUCGCUCACGGUCGCCGGAAUCGUCAGGACUUCUCGAUUAGGUAAUUCUGUGAUUUCUCUUUAGCUGGAGCUUCUAGUUUGAGUAGAGUGAACUCUAAUAACUUGUUAUUUGAUUUGGAGAGCUUUGAGGUCCGUGGAGUCUGGGAACUCGAGGUUCUUGGAGGAGGAAAACUGCUUCGAAUUGAGUUGGGUUAGGGAUUUGAGAAGGGGGUGGUGAUAGAGCAGCCAGUUCACAGCAGCAUACAUGGGUUAUCCUUGUUGGAGAAGAAGAAUGGUAAGGGUCCGGAUUUUUGGUCUUGCUGGUGUUGAAAUUAUUGUGGAUGUGUUCUGUUGAGUAAAAGAUGCAUGAAUGUAACUUGGUGUAUGAAUUGAAGGAAGGUUGAUUUAAGAUGACUUUUACUUUGGGUAAAUGCUUAAACAGAUUGGUAAUUGAGAUUGGAUCUAUUUGGUCGUGUAUUGUUUGUACUGAUUGAAGUUAAGGUUUCACCAAGUGCAAAUUAAGA